Molecule: unclassified non-coding RNA, 328 nt
Filed under: plant metagenome
Description: partial contains 5.8S ribosomal RNA, internal transcribed spacer 2, and large subunit ribosomal RNA
Rfam family: 5.8S ribosomal RNA (bases 1-104)
Source: RNAcentral
GAAAUGCGAUAAGUAAUGUGAAUUGCAGAAUUCCGUGAAUCAUCGAAUUUUUGAACGCACAUUGCGCCCUCUGGUAUUCCGGGGGCAUGCCUGUCCGAGCGUCAUUGCGAACCCCUCAAGCACGGCUUGUGUGAUGGGCCCUCCCGCGUCUUGGUCGUCAAGACGGGCCCGAAAUGCAGUGGCGGCUUCGCGGUUAUCCGAUCAGCCAGAGCGUAUGGGGACUCUCUCUCUUGUCACACGCCCGCGGCGCGGACCGACGCCUGUCGACCUUUAUUCAUCUUCUCUCGGUUGACCUCGGAUCAGGUAGGGAUACCCGCUGAACUUAAGC